Molecule: transfer RNA, 73 nt
Filed under: Felis catus (domestic cat)
Lineage: Eukaryota; Metazoa; Chordata; Mammalia; Carnivora; Felidae
Rfam family: tRNA
About the family: Transfer RNA (tRNA) molecules are approximately 80 nucleotides in length.
Source: Rfam by way of RNAcentral
GCCUGGCUGGCUCAGUCAUUAGAGCGUGUGACUCUUGAUCUCAGGGUCGUGAGGUUGAGCCUCACAUUGGGUG